RNAcentral lists this ribosomal RNA (292 nucleotides) under uncultured bacterium. Its description in RNAcentral is "partial 16S ribosomal RNA". The record is from RNAcentral.
GGACUACCAGGGUUUCUAAUCCUGUUUGCUCCCCACGCUUUCGUAGUUUAGUGUCAGUUACUGUCCAGUUCGCCGCCUUCGCCUCUGAUAUUCCUCCUGAUCUCUACGCAUUUCACCGCUACACCAGGAAUUCUGCGAACCUCUCCAGUACUCUAGUAACAUAGUUUCCAAGGCACGUCCUGAGUUGAGCUCAGGGAUUUCACCCUAGACUUAUGUCACCACCUACCUACCCUUUACGCCCAAUAAUUCCGAGCAACGCUUGCACCCUUCGUAUUACCGCGGCUGCUGGCAC